RNAcentral lists this small nuclear RNA (26 nucleotides) under Arabidopsis thaliana (thale cress). RNAcentral describes it as "snRNA_10110". The record is from RNAcentral. Lineage: Eukaryota; Viridiplantae; Streptophyta; Magnoliopsida; Brassicales; Brassicaceae.
AGGAGAUUUGUAGUCAACCUUAGGGG